This 427-nucleotide ribosomal RNA is filed under the name uncultured cyanobacterium. RNAcentral's name for it is "bacterial SSU rRNA". It matches the Rfam family "Bacterial small subunit ribosomal RNA", at positions 356 to 795 of the family's 1533-position model. The record is from RNAcentral. Lineage: Bacteria; Bacillati; Cyanobacteriota.
GGGGAAUUUUCCGCAAUGGGCGAAAGCCUGACGGAGCAAUACCGCGUGAGGGAUGACGGCCUAUGGGUUGUAAACCUCUUUUUUACAGGGAGGAAUAAAUGACGUGUACCCUGAAGAAUAAGCAUCGGCUAACUCCGUGCCAGCAGCCGCGGUAAGACGGAGGAUGCAAGUGUUAUCCGGAAUCACUGGGCGUAAAGCGUCUGUAGGUGGUUUAAUAAGUCAACUGUUAAAUCUUGGGGCUUAACCUCAAAAUCGCAGUCGAAACUAUUAGACUAGGGUAUAGUAGGGGUAAAGGGAAUUUCCAGUGGAGCGGUGAAAUGCGUAGAGAUUGGAAAGAACACCGAUGGCGAAGGCACUUUACUGGGCUAUUACUAACACUCAGAGACGAAAGCUAGGGUAGCAAAUGGGAUUAGAUACCCCAGUAGUC